Long non-coding RNA from Thalassophryne amazonica, 148 nucleotides. RefSeq lists it as uncharacterized. The transcript has 3 exons. Lineage: Eukaryota; Metazoa; Chordata; Actinopteri; Batrachoidiformes; Batrachoididae. The record is from RefSeq and is a predicted model, not a curated record.
GAAUGAGUUGUUGUGUGAGGUCCUGGACCAGAUCAGAGAGUGCGGAAAGUUGUUGCUGUUGCUGACCCAGGAAGGCUCCCUGGGCGGACAGGGCUUGUUGAAGUUGGUCUGACCCUGCAGAGUCCGUGAUGUUGGCCAGAGACUUCUG